Molecule: unclassified non-coding RNA, 336 nt
Filed under: soil metagenome
Description: partial contains 5.8S ribosomal RNA, internal transcribed spacer 2, and large subunit ribosomal RNA
Rfam family: 5.8S ribosomal RNA (bases 1-120)
Source: RNAcentral
GAUGAAGAACGUAGCGAAAUGCGAUAAGUAAUGUGAAUUGCAGAAUUCAGUGAAUCAUCGAAUCUUUGAACGCACAUUGCGCCCAUUAGUAUUCUAGUGGGCAUGCCUGUUCGAGCGUCAUUUCAACCCUUAAGCCUAGCUUAGUGUUGGGAAUCUGCUGUAUUGCAGUUCCUCAAAUACAACCGCGGAUCUGUAACAUCCUCUGAGCGUAGUAAAUUUUUAUCUCGCUUUUGUUAGGUGUUGCAGCUCUCAGCCGCUAAACCCCCCAAUUUUUGUGGUUGACCUCGGAUCAGGUAGGAAUACCCGCUGAACUUAAGCAUAUCAAUAAGCGGAGGA